UGUGGGGAUGGGCGCACGGCACGGGGUCCGUCCCACCGCCGUGCAGUGACGUCUCUUCCCCGCA
Gallus gallus (chicken) is the source of this 64-nucleotide microRNA precursor. The record is from Ensembl. NCBI's taxonomy places the organism in Eukaryota, Metazoa, Chordata, Aves, Galliformes, Phasianidae.